RNAcentral lists this long non-coding RNA (387 nucleotides) under Pan troglodytes (chimpanzee). RNAcentral's name for it is "long non-coding RNA NONPTRT006059". The record is from RNAcentral. Lineage: Eukaryota; Metazoa; Chordata; Mammalia; Primates; Hominidae.
GAGAAAUGAAAAAUAAAUUCUAUUUUCCAUGAUACAAACAACAGCUUGAUGACAUCUUGGCUGAUGGGAUACCCAGAGGUCAGAGCCACUUGUGCCCUUUCAGAGGACAGGUACCAGAAUCCCCAGGACAUCAAGGAGUUUUAUGUUUAUCAACGGGGGACACGCUCUUGGUUAAGUAGUAGAACUUAGUUUGAUAUACGUCUUACAGAUUUGCCUUCAGACAUAUGAAGAUGACCUCAAUGGUGAUAGAAAACAUCUGAAUUUAAUUCUGUCCCUGUCUACCCUAUUCUUCCCUCUUUCUCUGACCCAUCCCAGGAAGGCACUCAGGGGGUCCAUUCUCAGUGCUCAACAAUGAAGAUCUGGCACUCCCCAGCUCAAUUAAUCUCU